GGUAAACUUUGCUCCUCACUGCUGAAAGCCUAAGCAGUGAGAUUGUAGUCCAUCAUACAAAACUGGCUUGUCUUCCCGGGCUUCAUGAGGAUAGGCAGGCUGUCCCCAGCAGUGCUUUCUGAACUUUGCCAAGUCAAACAAUU
Molecule: small nucleolar RNA, 143 nt
Filed under: Peromyscus maniculatus bairdii (prairie deer mouse)
Lineage: Eukaryota; Metazoa; Chordata; Mammalia; Rodentia; Cricetidae
Description: Small nucleolar RNA SNORA79 (ENSPEMG00000005355.2)
Source: RNAcentral